RNAcentral lists this long non-coding RNA (271 nucleotides) under Homo sapiens (human). Its description in RNAcentral is "HSALNT0058114". The record is from RNAcentral. Lineage: Eukaryota; Metazoa; Chordata; Mammalia; Primates; Hominidae.
CUGUUGUGAAGUUGUGUAAAAGACUUGGAUUUUACUUAUCCAUUUCAGAAAGAAAGUGACUAAAUUGAGAUACUGACUCAACUUCUUACAUUCAGGAAAGAAGGUCAGGUCUUUUUCAGUAAUUCCUUGCAGCUUCAGCUCAUACACAAUGAUUCGUUGGUUUCUUCAUUGAAAAGGAAGGGAAGGGGGAGAAAACACCACUUUUUAAAGCCAAGACCAAAGAAAAUAAUUCCUUUUGUGUAAAGGAUCAAUAAUGGUCUCUGUUCAUUCU